Molecule: ribosomal RNA, 265 nt
Filed under: uncultured bacterium
Lineage: Bacteria
Description: partial 16S ribosomal RNA
Rfam family: Bacterial small subunit ribosomal RNA
Source: RNAcentral
AAAAAAAAACCCUUUGCUUCGGAAUAGCCCUGGGAAACUGGGAGUAAUACCGGAUGAGCCCUUUGGGGGAAAGAUUUAUCUGCGAAGGAUCGGCCCGCGUUGGAUUAGGUAGUGGGUGGGGUAAUGGCCUACCAAGCCGACGAUCCAUAGCUGGUUUGAGAGGAUGAUCAGCCACACUGGGACUGAGACACGGCCCAGACUCCUACGGGAGGCAGCAGUGGGGAAUCUUAGACAAUGGGAGAAACCCUGAUCUAGCCAUGUUUCU